This is a non-coding RNA of Zootoca vivipara (common lizard), 74 nucleotides long. Lineage: Eukaryota; Metazoa; Chordata; Lepidosauria; Squamata; Lacertidae. The record is from the annotation of a RefSeq genome assembly.
GCCUGGGAUAGCUCAGCUGGUAGAACAUGAGACUUUUAAUCUCAGGGUUGUGAGUUUGAGCCCCACCUUGGGCA